RNAcentral lists this ribosomal RNA (903 nucleotides) under uncultured bacterium. Its description in RNAcentral is "bacterial SSU rRNA". It matches the Rfam family "Bacterial small subunit ribosomal RNA", at positions 9 to 873 of the family's 1533-position model. The record is from RNAcentral.
GAGUUUGAUCAUGGCUCAGAAUGAACGCUGGCGGCGUGCUUAACACAUGCAAGUCGCACGAGAACUCUUCUGCUUGCAGAAGAUAGUAAAGUGGCGCACGGGUGAGUAACGCGUGGGUAAUCUACCUCUGAAUUGGGGAUAACAUUGUGAAAGCGAUGCUAAUACCGAAUAAUAUCCCGAGAACUCUGGCUUUUGGGAUCAAAGGUGGCCUCUACAUGUAAGCUACUGAUUGGAGAUGAGCCCGCGUACCAUUAGCUUGUUGGCAGGGUAAUGGCCUACCAAGGCAACGAUGGUUAGCUGGUCUGAGAGGAUGAUCAGCCACACUGGAACUGACACACGGUCCAGACUCCUACGGGAGGCAGCAGUGAGGAAUUUUGCGCAAUGGGGGAAACCCUGACGCAGCAACGCCGCGUGAGUGAUGAAGGCUUUCGAGUCGUAAAGCUCUGUCAAGUGAGAAGAAACUACUUUUUGUUAAUACCAUUAAGUACUGACGGUACCACUGAAGGAAGCACCGGCUAACUCCGUGCCAGCAGCCGCGGUAAUACGGAGGGUGCAAGCGUUAUUCGGAAUUAUUGGGCGUAAAGGGCGCGUAGGCGGUCUUUUAAGUCAGAUGUGAAAGCCCGGGGCUCAACCCCGGAAGUGCAUUUGAAACUAAGGGACUUGAGUAUGGGAGAGGGAAGUGGAAUUCCUGGUGUAGAGGUGAAAUUCGUAGAUAUCAGGAGGAACACCGGUGGCGAAGGCGACUUCCUGGACCAAUACUGACGCUGAGGCGCGAAGGCGUGGGGAGCAAACAGGAUUAGAUACCCUGGUAGUCCACGCAGUAAACGAUGAACACUAGGUGUAGCGGGUAUUGACCCCUGCUGUGCCGCAGUUAACGCAAUAAGGUCCGCCUGGAGAGGGCAG